This 161-nucleotide small nuclear RNA is filed under the name Brachypodium distachyon (stiff brome). RNAcentral's name for it is "snRNA U1". It matches the Rfam family "U1 spliceosomal RNA". Rfam says of the family: U1 is a small nuclear RNA (snRNA) component of the spliceosome (involved in pre-mRNA splicing). Its 5' end forms complementary base pairs with the 5' splice junction, thus defining the 5' donor site of an intron. Lineage: Eukaryota; Viridiplantae; Streptophyta; Magnoliopsida; Poales; Poaceae. The record is from RNAcentral.
UUACUUACCUGGACGGGGUCUACGGGCGAUCAAAAAGGCCCGUGGCCUAGAUCAAUGGCCCACAUUGCACUUGGUGGGUGCGCUGGUUUAUCAUCUCCCCAAGUGGGAGAGUGAACGUCAUAAUUUGUGGUAGAGGGGGUACGCGUUCGCGCGGCCCCUGC